Rhinolophus ferrumequinum (greater horseshoe bat) is the source of this 974-nucleotide long non-coding RNA. RefSeq lists it as uncharacterized. The transcript is spliced from 3 exons. Lineage: Eukaryota; Metazoa; Chordata; Mammalia; Chiroptera; Rhinolophidae. The record is from RefSeq and is a predicted model, not a curated record.
CUCCAGGGGCCCCUCAAAGCCCUCAUUGUGACUGGGCUCAUCCCAGACGCCAGGCUGGCUGGCUCCACACCAGUGAGGGGCAAAGGCGCAGCCUCUCCUGGUGGGGCUGCAUGGAGGGAGGGGCACCCACCUUUUCAGAGACCCCCUCCUCUCAAUUCCAGUGGGCUCCUUCUGAUGUUUCUGGGGGGCAUCACCAGACUGGGCCUGGGCAACUAGCCCUGGCUGCCCUCCCUCCUGCUUGGCCACCCUCUGCCCCUCAGCCACUAACCGGCAUCCAGGGUAGGGUCUUUCUGCGCCCACCCACCCGCGGGGAGGCCGAAUGGACCAGGGCGGGAAAGGUGUCUGACCACGUUCCUCACUCAGCCCGGAAGGCCCCGGGGCCUCUCAUGGAGCCUGGGCAGCGCCCUCCAAGGCCUGCAGGCCACAGAGCGGGCUGCUGCCUCCGCCCCGCCCCGCCCCGCAGAGGGGCCGCCCGCCGGCCUCGGUGCCCAAACCUAGGUGCGUGGCGCGCCACCCUCGCCGACUGGGGAGGGGAGCGGGCACCUGAAAGACCGCGCCCGGCGUGGGGUCCUCUCUCGGCAGCUCAGCCCCUCCGGGAACCCCGCGGCGCGGCAGGCUGAGAAUCCAUCAACCUGAUUAUACAUUCAGGAGCUGGGGUGACGACCACUGUGGUCCGUGGACUGCCUUAACCAGGAACCCCCUUAUUGCCUGACCCCACGUGCCCCAGCUCAAUGUCCAUGAUGCUGCUUCAGGUUUCCAGAAGCGGCCUCAUGGAGAGGCCCACAAGGUUCGGAGCUGAUGGAAGUCCCCGCCAGUGGGGACUGGAAGCCACCACACCCCCCGGAGGGAAUGCAGAAGUGAGCCUGACUUGGUCGAACCUUCCGCUGAGACUGCAGCCCACUCAGCACUUUGAAGCAGAGGAGGCAGCUCAGCCACGCGUGGAUCCCAGGCCCACUGAAACCAGGGAAUAAUAA